Molecule: long non-coding RNA, 460 nt
Filed under: Capra hircus (goat)
Lineage: Eukaryota; Metazoa; Chordata; Mammalia; Artiodactyla; Bovidae
Description: lncRNA (ENSCHIG00010007462.1)
Source: RNAcentral
GGGGGGAAGGGCGCGGGUCCAUGGCAACCACUGUUUCUGAGAUUCCCACGCCUCGGAGACCCCACAAGGCUGUGCUGCUCCAGUGAUCAGUAAAACCAAUUUCAUGAUCUCGAUGAAGCACAGCUGAGUUGAGGACACAGUCUGGAUCAGGCUUGAAGAGAUCACUUUGUAAACACCAUUGCCAGUCUUCACAGCCACCUAGCAAGUUCACUUCUAGUGAAAUGAGAUAAUGACAUUCACUCCAAUCAACGUGUCAUCAGGUCAGCCUCACCUCGAAGUUUAUUGGAAAUGCCACCCCAGACCUACUGAAUUGGAAGCUACAGUGUCAUAAAAUAUCCCAGGUAAGUGACUUCAGUGUCAAAGAAAAAUCAGAAGUAUUUGAAAAAGAAGCAGAGAAGCCAGGUGCAGAGGAAAGGACACAGACAUUUUGGUGGCUCCCUUCAGAGGGAUGCCACUCCAG